AGGCUGCAACUCGCCUACAUGAAGUCGGAAUCGCUAGUAAUCGCGAAUCAGAAUGUCGCGGUGAAUACGUUCCCGGGUCUUGUACACACCGCCCGUCAAACCAUGAGAGUUGGCAACACCCGAAGUCGGUAGUCUAACCGCAAGGAGGACGCCGCCGAAGGUGGGGUUGAUGAUUAGGGUUAAGUCGUAACAAGGUAGC
Molecule: ribosomal RNA, 199 nt
Filed under: uncultured bacterium
Lineage: Bacteria
Description: partial 16S ribosomal RNA
Rfam family: Bacterial small subunit ribosomal RNA
Source: RNAcentral